RNAcentral lists this long non-coding RNA (2219 nucleotides) under Citrus x clementina. RNAcentral describes it as "Citrus clementina (C. clementina) long non-coding RNA (CCLE_LNC005369)". The record is from RNAcentral. Lineage: Eukaryota; Viridiplantae; Streptophyta; Magnoliopsida; Sapindales; Rutaceae.
UCUCUAUUGUUGAGAGAAAAAUUUUCUCGUGCUAGUUGUUUUGGUAGUGAUAAAGGCGCCCACACGUCAAGUGCAGAUCGAACCUGAGUCAUAACCUGGAAGAUCAUUGGUGACAGUUCGUGAUCUAACAAGCGUGGUGGUGACGGAUGGUGAUCAAACAAGAGUGGUGGUGAUGGAUCGUAAUCUAGGAGCCUAAAUCACUCCAGCGGAAAAAGCCAAAUCGGAUUUUCAAGGUACGAUUUCUGGAUUACGUAUUCCUAUAUAUUAUAUGAGAGCGGUCCUUAAAAGGUUUUAUAAAAUUUUUAAAACCUGAUUUUUCCCCAACAGUAUAACAUUACAUUAAUUUUCUAUAGUUGAUAUUUUUUUUCUUAAUUGAUUUCAUGGAUUAAUUAUAUGCAGGCAUUCCUCAUGUAUGCUUGUAUGCUUGGGCAGAGGAAGAAAACACUUUGAAGAUCAAAAAAGCUUUUUAAAUGGCUGUAAUAUGUUUAAUUGCGAUGUUCAUUAGUGUAUCAUAUCCAAAUAUUGAAAAAUUUGUGCACUGAUAACUUUGUUUAUUUAUAUUAAUUAAUCUAAUCAUUUCUCAAACUGUCGGAUUGCAAAUUUAGUUUUUUUACUGCAAUUUAUGAACACACGAUUUGGUCGUGUAAGGUCAUGUAACAUAUGAUUCAAGGUCGUGUAAUAUACUCGUGUAAUACAUGACCCUCAAUCGUAUAUGACAUGACUUUGUGUAUUAUUACACGAUCUUAAAUCAUGUAUUACGAGUCUUUCACGACUUUCAGUUGUAUAUUACACGACCUUCACAUACUACACGACUUUAUGUAUUACAUGACUUUAUAUAUUACGCGAUUACACGACCUCCAUGAAUUACACGACCUUAAAAUUACACGACUUUUCCAUUAAUCAUUAGAUUAAUUUAAAGACUUAAUUUGUGCUAAGAAUUUAUAUUUGCUGCUAUGCAGAAAAUAUCAACGAAAAUUAUUGAAAAAAAGAAGUGAAAUUAAAUUAGAAUCUAAAUAAAUUCCACAUCAUCAUUGGUUUGAAUUGUAACUAGUGGCAUACGAUCAGAUGUCUUAAGCUUGAACUUCAUUGUGAUUUCGAAUUCUGAAGUAUCCAUAUCAAUAACUUGAGCUAUAUUCUCCACCAAUUCGACAUAUGUUGUUGAUCGUGGUAUCAUUAUCCCUUUAGUCUUGGAACCUUUGAACUUAUACUCGUCAUUUUGCUCAAUUCAUUCACCAUUAAAGAGAAUAGACACACAUACCAAAACCAUAUAUGAUGAUACAAUAAAAACAAUAAUAUCAAAUUUCAUAUACAAGUAACUACAAGAACUACACGACCUACACGACUACAUUACUGACAUGACUUACACGACCUACAUGACUAUAUUACUUACAUGACCUAUACGACUUACACGACUAUAUUACUUACACGACCUACAUGACUAAUUACAUGGCGUACACGGUAUCAAAAGGAAUGCACGACGCGAAACAUUUUUGCCAUAAAUAAAUUAUAUUGCUGAAAAAAAUAAUGAAACAACCAACAUUGUCAUAUAUUUCUACAUAUAAGAAAAAAUGGUGAAAAUAAAACAUUAUAAUGUGAGGAAAAUUUCUAAAUUUUCCUAAAAAUUAAAAAAACUUAAAACCCAACAACAUUAACAUACCUUAUUGGGUUGUUUAAUGAGCAAUGCACCUCAUUUCAGUUAAAUAAAGAGUGGAUGUUAAAGAAAUGAAUAUAUAAUUGUAUUUGUGUAAGAAGUUAUAAGAGAUUUUGAGAGAUUCUAGGAGAUUUUGAGAGAAUUUCGGCCACAAAAAGAGAUUUGGGUGAAGACAAUGAAGUUGAGUGAAUUUGAUGCAUUUAUUAAGGGCAUUUAAGACUUCACUCAUAUUUAUUAGGGUAUCCAUGAAAACCAAAAAGGGAGGGGGUAUUUAAAUAAUUUUGAAACUAUUAAAGGGUAUUUAAUUAAACCCUUUCCAAGUCACGUGAGAGGGUCAACUCUUUGCCAUGUCAGCAUCAAAGUGACUUUGCUGUUAAAACACAAUUAUCGAUAUACCAGUUGAGUAGGCUGAUAAAAUAAGUUGUUGAUUAAAAUAAAUAAUUUGGUGUUUAGUAAAUUGCAUUGUUUGGUUGGUGUGAAUUUAAAAAGUAGAAUAUAUGCGUUUGAUAAAUUUUAUUACGAAAGUGUUGUUUUAUUAUAUAAUAACUAAAAUAAAUAUAGGUUUAAA